AAUAAAGACAGCGACUUUUUCAGUAUUAAUUUCCUAAAGAACAACAUAGGUUACGUUUUUCAGCUAAUUGUUGUACUCGUGAGUUCAACGCAUCACGCGAUUAAAAUUAUUGUCUUAACUCUGAAUUUAUUUAAAACAACACUUAACAGCAGCUGUAGAAACCUUUACUUCUCUGUGUAUUUAUUCUCUGCUGCUUAUGUGGAUAAAUGCGAUCAGGCUCUUAAAGCGUAAAGGGACAAUCAAUAUUCAGAAAACAAACUGAAACACGUCAUGAUGGUACCCUCAGUGGCUAAGUGGAGUUUCAUCCUCCUUUUCGUUUUAUUGAAACAUCCUCAACAAGCAAAAGGAUGGAGGAGAGUUCCUACGUUUU
Long non-coding RNA from Pocillopora damicornis (cauliflower coral), 370 nucleotides. NCBI's taxonomy places the organism in Eukaryota, Metazoa, Cnidaria, Anthozoa, Scleractinia, Pocilloporidae. The record is from RefSeq and is a predicted model, not a curated record.